Molecule: long non-coding RNA, 664 nt
Organism: Aphis gossypii (cotton aphid)
Lineage: Eukaryota; Metazoa; Arthropoda; Insecta; Hemiptera; Aphididae
Exons: 4
Source: RefSeq, a predicted model, not a curated record
AAAGGGUCACCUGGCAAAUAUCGCCACCCAAAUCGGUUGCCCAGACAACGAAGAAGACGACGCGACGGCCGUUUCAAACAGUGAAAAAUGUCCAAAUAAAUUGUAAAAAUCAGUUUAAAACAGUGCUGUAAUCGGUGGCGAGAACAAUUUUGGUUUUUUUGGUUUAAUUAUUAAAACAUUUCGGACUACGUUGGAAAAUUUGUUAUCAAGUAUAUCAUGUAAGUACCUAUAUGCGUAUGAUAUAUAAUACACUACGAUGAUUUGAAUUCACUUAGAAUAUUAUUUAAUAAUUUGAUAUUAUUAAAGUUAUUAAUCGAUUAGAGUGCUGCCGCGGUUACUAUCAAAACAUCAUUUAUCAAAAACGAGAGAGGCUAUAAGUUUUGAGAUAUUUUACCUUUACGUGCACAUAUAACUAUAAUAUUAUGCGAACACGUGAAUACCGAUUACAGAUCAAACAUCCUUGGUCACUUGAUAACAAUAAUAUUGUAUGCACACUAUGUAUAUAUCAUGUUAUACAGGCAUGUAUGAUAGGAUGCAUAUUUAAUAUAUUUAAUAAUCGCGAUCCCGAAGUACGGUAAAAGACUUCGGACUGUCAAGCUGAAGUACUGCUGGCAGCCAGCCGUUAUACUGUACGAGUGAGAUUUCCACGUCAGAAUUUCGUUCU